Molecule: long non-coding RNA, 825 nt
Organism: Protobothrops mucrosquamatus (brown spotted pit viper)
Lineage: Eukaryota; Metazoa; Chordata; Lepidosauria; Squamata; Viperidae
Exons: 3
Source: RefSeq, a predicted model, not a curated record
AUCUUAGAUAACAGUUUUGAAUAGGUUGAUAUGGGUGAAGCCAUCCAAGGAACAAUUGGGUUACUCUGGUUCUGGAAGACAAAUGUUCUGGUGUUUAGUGAACCACUUUGUUUCCAGAGGAAUUGGUUUUGUUCCUGCUGGGUAAAUCUGUUUCUUUCUUAACUUUUUUAUAGUUUGGGGGAAAUCCAUUUGCUUCAUUAGUGAGCAAUUCAUCAGGUGGGGACAGCCAGCCAUCUCGCACAGAAAACCGAGACCCUUUACCAAAUCCUUGGGCUCCUCAAGCUACCACACAGAGCUCUCCAAACAGCAGCAGUAGCAACAGUGGAGAUAGUGGAGGAGGCAGUGGUGUUGAAAGCAGCAGCACCGGAACCACAGGACAAAGCUCAGCGGUGCCAAAUUUGGGACCUGGGCUAGGAGCUGGUAUGUUCAACACACCUGGCAUGCAGAGCUUGUUGCAGCAAAUUACAGAAAACCCACAGUUGAUGCAGAACAUGUUGUCUGCGCCUUACAUGAGAAGCAUGAUGCAGUCAUUGAGCCAGAAUCCUGAUCUUGCAGCCCAGAUGAUGUUAAAUAACCCUUUGUUUGCUGGCAAUCCUCAGCUACAAGAACAAAUGAGACAACAAAUUCCAACUUUCCUUCAACAAGUAAGUCAAAAGAAGAGAUUAGCACUGCACAUGAUAAUCAUAUUAAAAUGUUAUGCUGUUUAAAUGAAACUUUUCACAGAUCAUUCAUCUACAAUCUGAUCACCUCUGGUAUUUAGGAAAAGGGAUAAUUCAUCCUUUUGAACUUUCCCGUACUACGAGGAUAGCUAUCUUGUGUAUUCUU